GUUUAAAUUCGGCAUCAGAAUAGUUUACUUUAACCAUCUGUGCACGAAUGUAUCUAAGGCUCUCUAGUGCGCCUAAAGUCGUUUCGCAGUGCUUUGUUGACGUUAUAUCAGUUCUAGCGCGUAAAUGUUUUAAGGAAAAAAAGUGCUGGAAAUCGGUGUCUCCGUAAUGACGGAUCUAAAUAGUCUUACCUACACCUGGUAAAAAGUUAGCACGACGUACGCGCCCGCUGCUCUGUCUCCGUGCCUCAGCUGCCUGCUGAAGCGCUCUCUCAACCAGCGCUCACGACAGACACAAACCUCCGGCCCUCUCUACCACUCCCUGAGUAACAGCCUGCUCACUGCCUGAUCGGCAACAGCACCACGUAACACUUCAAUAGACAAAUGCCAUGGCGGCCGCGGUGCAAUUUAGAAGUUACAUAUACGUUUAGCAAUGUACCACGUGACUUCUUACUAAUACAUUUAUUGUUUUAGAUGCAUUAUAAAGUAUGUUCAUCUGUAUUUUUAUAUAAUAUUUUGGCUGGUAAAAAGUCUUGAGUGACUAGAAGAUUUUUUCAUCUACCUGAGAGUGGCUAGCGGACCAAGAAGUACAUUAGUCCCUAAUGUUAACAUUGUCCAUGUAUUACAAUGAGAGACACUGUCUGUCUAACCAGUAAUAAAUAACACAUACAGAAUGUGGCAAAACCCAUAGCCUGCCCAACACGUUAAAAAUAUCCUGUUGUUUUUACAGUCACUUAUUGGCAACUGUAAGUUCUUGUAAAAAACAACAACUGUACAUUACUAUGAAGUUUACAGUAAUGUAAACCAAUGUUUCUUUGAAAUUUACAGUAACAUACUCUACUUAUUUUAAUUGUUUUACAUUGACUUACAGUCUGCCAGUAUAUUACCAGUACAGGCUGCCAGUAUAUUACCAGUACAGGCUGCCAGUAUAUUACCAGUACAGGCUGCCAGUAAAUUACCAGUACAGGCUGCCAGUAAAUUACCAUAAAAAAACUGGAUUUAAAAAAAAAGAAUUACAGUGUACCCAUAACCUUUCACAUCCCUCUUUUUCUUGAGGACAACAAUGCUUGUUGUAUACCUUUACUAUACAAUUCCUUCAAUUAAUAUUGUAUUAUAUUCUAUUUGCAAGAUCUAAUUGUAGCAAGCCUGGUCCCUGAUUUUUCUGCUCUUGCCAUUUGCAUUGCUGUCAUUGUCAAGCCAAACAUGUUCGGUAUGAAAAAUUCAUAAGGAACUGACAAGAGAGCAAAAGCAGACUGCCACCCAGGCUACCUUGGGACUAGCCAGACUCAGGAAAUUACAAAGAAACUGCACAAUGUCUCUCUGACAGUGUAAGAGGAUAAGAUAAGGAUAUUAUACCCAUGACCACUGUGUUAAGGACCCAUGACCAGUGUGUUAAGGACCCAUGACCACUGUGUUAAGGACCCAUGACCACUGUGUUAAGGACCCAGAUGCAUGACCAGUGUGUUAAGGACCCAUGACCAGUGUGUUAAGGACCCAUGACCAUUGUGUUAAGGACCCAGACCCAUGACCACUGUGUUAAGGACCCAGACCCAUGACCACUGUGUUAAGGACCCAUGACCAGUGUGUUAAGGACCCAUGACCAGUGUGUUAAGGACCCAUUACCACUGUGUUAAGGACCCAUGACCAGUGUGUUAAGGACCCAUUACCACUGUGUUAAGGACCCAGACCUGUUAAGGACCCAUGACCAGUGUGUUAAGGACCCAUGACCACUGUGUUAAGGACCCAGACCUGUUAAGGACCCAUGACCAGUGUGUUAAGGACCCAUGACCAGUGUGUUAAGGACCCAUG
Molecule: long non-coding RNA, 1806 nt
Filed under: Salmo salar (Atlantic salmon)
Lineage: Eukaryota; Metazoa; Chordata; Actinopteri; Salmoniformes; Salmonidae
Description: lncRNA (ENSSSAG00000120647.1)
Source: RNAcentral